GGGGUCGUGGCUCAGUGGGAGAGCGCAUGCCUAGCAUGUGUGAGGCACUGGGUUCGAUUCUCAGCACCACA
This 71-nucleotide transfer RNA is filed under the name Marmota monax (woodchuck). RNAcentral's name for it is "tRNA.Ala". It matches the Rfam family "tRNA". From Rfam's summary of the family: Transfer RNA (tRNA) molecules are approximately 80 nucleotides in length. Their secondary structure includes four short double-helical elements and three loops (D, anti-codon, and T loops). The record is from RNAcentral. Lineage: Eukaryota; Metazoa; Chordata; Mammalia; Rodentia; Sciuridae.